This 646-nucleotide ribosomal RNA is filed under the name uncultured bacterium. Its description in RNAcentral is "bacterial SSU rRNA". It matches the Rfam family "Bacterial small subunit ribosomal RNA", at positions 64 to 695 of the family's 1533-position model. The record is from RNAcentral.
GAGGGGCAGCGGGAAGGUUAGCUUGCUAAUCUUUGCCGGCGACCGGCGCACGGGUGAGUAACACGUAUGCAACCUGUCCGGUACAGGGGGAUAAGCGGCGGAAACGCCGUCUAAUACCGCGUGACAACCCGAGGGGGCAUCCCCUUGGGUUCAAAGGAGAGAUCCGGUACCGGCUGGGCAUGCGGCGCAUUAGCUAGUUGGCGGGGCAACGGCCCACCAAGGCGACGAUGCGUAGGGGUUCUGAGAGGAAGGUCCCCCACACUGGAACUGAGACACGGUCCAGACUCCUACGGGAGGCAGCAGUGAGGAAUAUUGGUCAAUGGGCGCAAGCCUGAACCAGCCAAGUCGCGUGAGGGAAGACGGCCCUACGGGUUGUAAACCUCUUUUGCCGGGGAGCAAGCCUGAGCACGUGUGCCCAGGCGGAGAGUACCCGGAGAAAAAGCAUCGGCUAACUCCGUGCCAGCAGCCGCGGUAAUACGGAGGAUGCGAGCGUUAUCCGGAUUUAUUGGGUUUAAAGGGUGCGCAGGCGGGCUGUUAAGCCGGCGGUAAAAAUUCAGGGCUCAACCCUGUCGAGCCGUCGGAACUGGCAGUCUUGAGUGGGCGAGAAGUAUGCGGAAUGCGUGGUGUAGCGGUGAAAUGCAUAGAU